UACAGAGGUCUCAAGCGUUGAUCGGAUUCAUUGGGCGUAAAGGGUGCGUAGGCGGCGCGGUAAGUCGGGUGUGAAAUCUCGGAGCUUAACUCCGAAACUGCAUUCGAUACUGCCGUGCUUGAGGACUGGAGAGGAGACUGGAAUUUACGGUGUAGCGGUGAAAUGCGUAGAUAUCGUAAGGAAGACCAGUGGCGAAGGCGGGUCUCUGGACAGUUCCUGACGCUGAGGCACGAAGGUCAGGGGAGCAAACGGG
Molecule: ribosomal RNA, 253 nt
Filed under: uncultured bacterium
Lineage: Bacteria
Description: partial 16S ribosomal RNA
Rfam family: Bacterial small subunit ribosomal RNA
Source: RNAcentral